Molecule: long non-coding RNA, 209 nt
Filed under: Carica papaya (papaya)
Lineage: Eukaryota; Viridiplantae; Streptophyta; Magnoliopsida; Brassicales; Caricaceae
Description: long non-coding RNA (CPAP_LNC011535)
Source: RNAcentral
GAACAUAAGUUAGAACAGCAAAAGGAUCAGGUAAAUAAAUAGGAUAGUGGAUUGAGCUUCCCAAAUCUUCAUGAAAAGAUCAGAUAAAGCUCGAAUCUGAAUAGGUAGGCACAAUUGCCAUAAUGGUUAAAGCAGAGUGACAACAUAACAUCAACUAAUUUCCAACUAGAGGCCAUGGUUUGGGCCAACAAAGCAGAUUCCUUUUGGUU